UACGUAGGUUGCAAGCGUUGUCCGGAUUUACUGGGUGUAAAGGGCGUGUAGGCGGAGAUGCAAGUUGGGAGUGAAAUGCAGGGGCUCAACCCCUGAACUGCUUUCAAAACUGUAUCCCUUGAGUAUCGGAGAGGCAAGCGGAAUUCCUAGUGUAGCGGUGAAAUGCGUAGAUAUUAGGAGGAACACCAGUGGCGAAGGCGGCUUGCUGGACGACAACUGACGCUGAGGCGCGAAAGCGUGGGGAGCAAACAGG
Molecule: ribosomal RNA, 253 nt
Filed under: uncultured bacterium
Lineage: Bacteria
Description: partial 16S ribosomal RNA
Rfam family: Bacterial small subunit ribosomal RNA
Source: RNAcentral